This 971-nucleotide ribosomal RNA is filed under the name Triticum aestivum (bread wheat). RNAcentral describes it as "partial small subunit ribosomal RNA". Lineage: Eukaryota; Viridiplantae; Streptophyta; Magnoliopsida; Poales; Poaceae. The record is from RNAcentral.
CAGAGGAGGUGCUCGAGCGGCGGAGGAGUCGAGGCGAUUCCAUCGGGUUCCUGGCGUUUCCGAGAUCCCUCUCUACUGGAGCUUGUUUCCUCUUCGAUUCCCUGCCUUCCUGGUUAGUUCUUCUUGUCUCUCUAUCUUCUCGCGUGCGAUUUGCCAUGGUUGUGGUCGUGUAACUUCCAGAUCUAGGUCUGGGGAUUGUUUGUAGUAGUGUGUUUGUGGGUUUGUGUUCGAGAUUUUGUUGCUGUUUGAGUAUUUAGCGGUUGGUUCUGCUUCGUGGCUCGUGUAGUUUCAUGUGGAUCCCAUGUGCUCACGUCAGUUGUUAAUAUUUGUGGAUCCCGUGUGCUCGCGCUGCUAGGUUUUGGGUGUUCUCGUUUUGAUCCUCUCGUUGUAACCGCGGUUUGGUUACUCGUUUAUAAUUUUUUUCGAUUGAUGUGUUGGUCCUCUGGUAGGGUUAGAGUUUGUGUUUUUUCCCGAGAUAGGCGUGUCUCUGUGUUGAGUCUUCUUGCACAUCCCCUGCAGUUGCAGCUACCAUCUGGUAGGGUCAGGUUUUAGGUAGCAGUGCUAAUUUGGGGUUGUAAUUGUUUAGACCUAGGCGUGCACUAUAAUUGUCUAGCUUUGCUUUGUAAUUCAUGCCUUUUGACUGUAGUAGCUUUACUCUGUAAUUUUCCUCAGUUUUGCACUGUACUCUGCAAUAACCAUGGCAAUUAUAGUGUAGUCAUUCUGUACUUUUCAUUGUAAUUUCACCGAAAGUAGUCUGUAAGUAAGUACACUGUAAUUUCCCUCAAUGUACUCUGUAAUAUUCAUGGUAAUUACACUGUAAUUUCCCUCAAUGUACUCUGUAAUCCAUGGUAAUUACGCUGUAAUUUCCCUCAAUGUGCACUGUAAUAUCCAUGGCAAUUACACUCUAAUUUCCCUCUAUGUACACUGUAAUUUCCAUAUAGUAUUUACACUGUAAUUUCCCUGAAUGCACA